UGUUCGUAACGGGGAGGCCUGUGGUGUCUUUUCGCUGCUCAGGGCUGACAACCACGUCAGUCCAAACGCUCGGUAGCGGCGCUGCGAGGAAGGAGAGGUGCGGAGGGUGCGUGGAGAGGCCGAGGCCCAGCACAGGCCCUGAAGGGAAAGGGGUGUUCCCUUUAGGCCUGUGCCAGGCCCCGGCCUCACCUGCCUUUUUCCGUCACCCUCUGCAUGCUGCGAGGCUUACAGGAGGGCCCUGAAACCUGCCCGACCUUUUCGCCAUCAUCCACUGUGCCUGGGGCGGUUUUGAUCUUAAACUGCUGUGGCCUGGGCCUGCCCCAUUGUCAGAAAAAAACAUCCCUGAUGAACAUCUGAUCAUGAAUAAAUGGAGGUUUGCGGAAGGUCAUAGCAUGACAAAACAGAUGUUCCCAGAAUGCCUAAAACAACCCAGAUCACUCAGAUGGUGAAGCUGAAGUUCGUGUUCAGGCGCAUCAGUUUAACUACAAAAGGAGCCACAAAAUGCAGUGUAUCUUCCUUCAGUGACGUGUGAUGGAAAUUUCCUGGCACCACAUUAUCGCUGGCAACAGGAGACAGCAUGGAGCAGCCUUCACAGCCGUCUUUCAACCAAGAAGAUGAGUAAACCUCAUGUGCAGAGCUCGGAAGAUGAGAGGAAAACAUCCAUGUUACAAGGAGGAUUAUUACACAUAGCGCAAAAAAAGAAGUGCUAAGUGUAUACACACACACAAGCACUUUUCUACAUUUAAAAACUUAGAUGCGAAAGUCUACGGACAUCCCAGCUUCAGGUGGAGUGCUGUAUCUGUUCCACUGUUCUGCUUCUCCUGGUGUUUACCUUCACUCACAGGGAGAUGAAAUCAUACUAUAAAUAGAGGACAAAGUCCACUUUCAAGCAUUACCCGAUAAAGUCUCCUGUUUGACAUGACAAUA
This is a long non-coding RNA of Grus americana (Whooping crane), 927 nucleotides long. RefSeq lists it as uncharacterized. Lineage: Eukaryota; Metazoa; Chordata; Aves; Gruiformes; Gruidae. The transcript is spliced from 3 exons. The record is from RefSeq and is a predicted model, not a curated record.